AACGAUGUAGUUUAAUAAGAAUAGUGAGUUUGCAGCUCAAAGGUGGAAGUUUAUUCUCUUUGUUA
RNAcentral lists this transfer RNA (65 nucleotides) under Rhinebothrium megacanthophallus. RNAcentral's name for it is "tRNA-Ala". Lineage: Eukaryota; Metazoa; Platyhelminthes; Cestoda; Rhinebothriidea; Rhinebothriidae. The record is from RNAcentral.